Molecule: ribosomal RNA, 468 nt
Filed under: uncultured bacterium
Lineage: Bacteria
Description: partial 16S ribosomal RNA
Rfam family: Bacterial small subunit ribosomal RNA
Source: RNAcentral
GACGAAUGCUGGCGGCGUGCUUAACACAUGCAAGUCGAACGGAAAGGCCCUGCUUUUGUGGGGUGCUCGAGUGGCGAACGGGUGAGUAACACGUGAGUAGCCUGCCCUUGACUUUGGGAUAACUUCAGGAAACUGGGGCUAAUACCGGAUAGGAGCUCCUGCUGCAUGGUGGGGGUUGGAAAGUUUCGGCGGUUGGGGAUGGACUCGCGGCUUAUCAGCUUGUUGGUGGGGUAGUGGCUUACCAAGGCUUUGACGGGUAGCCGGCCUGAGAGGGUGACCGGCCACAUUGGGACUGAGAUACGGCCCAGACUCCUACGGGAGGCAGCAGUGGGGAAUAUUGCACAAUGGGCGGAAGCCUGAUGCAGCAACGCCGCGUGCGGGAUGACGGCCUUCGGGUUGUAAACCGCUUUCGCCUGUGACGAAGCGUGAGUGACGGUAAUGGGUAAAGAAGCACCGGCUAACUACGUG